CAUGCAAGUCGAGCGAGAAAGUGACUUCGGUCGCGAGUAAAGCGGCGAACGGGUGAGUACAACGUGGAUAAUCUACCCUAAGGUCCGGGACAACCCCGAGAAAUCGGAGCUAAUACCGGAUAAGACCACAGUAUCCAAGGAUACAGCGGUAAAAGAUUUAUCGCCUUUGGAUGAGUCCACGUCCCAUCAGGUAGUUGGUAAGGUAAAAGCUUACCAAGCCUAAGACGGGUAGCCGGCCUUAGCGGGUGAACGGCCACAUGGGGAUUGAGACACGGCCCUGACUCCUACGGGAGGCAGCAGUGGGGAAUAUUGGGCAAUGGGCGAAAGCCUGACCCAGCGAUGCCGCGUGAGGGAUGAAGGCCUUCGGGUCGUAAACCUCUGUCAGGAGGGACGAUGGGACACUUGUGUCUUGACGGUACCUCCAGAGGAAGCCCCGGCUAACUCCGUGCCAGCAGCCGCGGUAAUACGGAGGGGGCAAGCGUUGCUCGGAAUUACUGGGCGUAAAGGGUCCGCAGGCUGUCAGGCAAGUUGGUUGUGAAAGCUCAAGGCUUAACCUUGGAAUUGCAUCCAAAACUGCCUGACUAGAGUCCAAGAGAGGUUGGCGGAAUUCCCGGUGUAGCGGUGAAAUGCAUAGAUAUCGGGAGGAACACCAGAGGCGAAGGCGGCCAACUGGCUUGGAACUGACG
RNAcentral lists this ribosomal RNA (686 nucleotides) under uncultured bacterium. RNAcentral's name for it is "bacterial SSU rRNA". It matches the Rfam family "Bacterial small subunit ribosomal RNA", at positions 54 to 745 of the family's 1533-position model. The record is from RNAcentral.